AGAAUCAACGCUGGCGGCGUGCCUAACACAUGCAAGUCGCACGAGAAAGGGGAGCAAUCCCUGAGUACAGUGGCGCACGGGUGAGUAACACGUGAAUCAUCUACCUCCGAGUGGGGAAUAACUGAGAGAAAUCUUAGCUAAUACCGCAUAAUACCCACGGGUCAAAGCAGCAAUGCGCUUGGAGAGGAGUUCGCGGCAGAUUAGUUAGUUGGCGGGGUAAUGGCCCACCAAGACGAUGAUCUGUAUCCGGCCUGAGAGGGCGCACGGACACACUGGAACUGAAACACGGUCCAGACUCCUACGGGAGGCAGCAGUGGGGAAUUUUGCGCAAUGGGGGAAACCCUGACGCAGCAACGCCGCGUGGAGGAUGAAGCCCCUUGGGGUGUAAACUCCUUCGAUCGGGAAGAUAAUGACGGUACCGAUAUAAGAAGCCCGGCUAACUUCGCGCCAGCAGCCGC
Molecule: ribosomal RNA, 458 nt
Filed under: uncultured bacterium
Lineage: Bacteria
Description: SSU rRNA
Rfam family: Bacterial small subunit ribosomal RNA
Source: RNAcentral